This is a long non-coding RNA of Brachypodium distachyon (stiff brome), 1763 nucleotides long. RefSeq lists it as uncharacterized. The transcript is spliced from 4 exons. NCBI's taxonomy places the organism in Eukaryota, Viridiplantae, Streptophyta, Magnoliopsida, Poales, Poaceae. The record is from RefSeq and is a predicted model, not a curated record.
CGCCUCCCGUGACCCCGUCCCAACCACUCCUUCCUGGUGCCUCACUCCGGCGCUGCACCAGCCGCCGCCGCCGCCUCUGCUGCUCCAUCCUCCGUCUCUUCUGCUGUGCCGCACCGCCGCGGGCUCGUUGCCGCCGCCGACUCUGCUGCGCCAUCCCCCGUCCCUGCUGCUGUGCUGCGCCGCCGACGGCGCCGCCCCUGCUGCGUCGUCUCCAUCCAACCCGAGGAGAGGUCAGGGGAGUUCGUUAGCGGCAGCUCCUCGUGGUGGGUGGAAGGAGGAUGUGGUGAGGUAUUGGCUGCAGAAGCUGCUGUUCGUUUCUCUUCAGUCACCUGUCAUCUGGUUCAUGGCGGAGCAUGAUGGCAAGGGCUGUGAUGCGCCUGGUCAGAUGGAUUUGUACACUUACUCCACUCGUUUCUGGUGCGAAAGGUUGUCUUCUCAUGCUGAAAGAUUCAGAUUUUUUGUUGCCUCUAAUGAAUGAUUGGUGCAGAUAUGAUUUGUGUUUGUUUUGGUCGUGGCGGGGGUUGUAAUGUAUCCUGACUUUUCAUAUUCAGAUUUCUUAGUGGAGAUUUGAUUUUUGUGUCCAUUGUGUUGUUCAUGAUAUGUUGUGGAUCCGUCACUGUGCUUGCAAUGGUUUUUAGGUAGUGUUCAUUUGUUCCCUUAUGUGCUGUGAAACCAUUUAGGGGUAGUGGAUCUGUCUCUGUACCACCAUUUAGUUGCCCUAGCUGUUCAUUUUUUCUUGAAAAUGCUUUUAGGUACUGCCAAUCUGUUCACCAGGGAAUGUUUAUUUUGUUAUAUCUGAAGUGAUUUAGCUCCUGCAGUUGGUUUAUAUGGGGGUUUAAUGAUUUAAUUUAAUUUAUUUUUAUUCCUUUAAUGCUUGUUAUCAGGCAUGACUGUAGCAUAUUCUGCAUGAAGUUUAUGGAGUUGUUCAGUCGUCAAGUGCUGCUGCACGACAAGAUUUCUCAUAGGAACAUUUUCAAUUUUUGCGUCAAAAUUGCGAAUGGCAUGCUCAUUUCUUCAACUUAGUCCAUAAUGUAAAGGAAAUGGUUAUUCAGUUGUCUCAAUAGUUACUACUUUCUUAUCCGGAGUCUGGUUUUCUUUUUGCUUGUGCUUGAUUAUUCUAUCAUCUAGAAAUUGUUUAUUAUUCUUUUUUCCAUUUCUAUAGAUUGACUUGUCUAAGCAUCUAAGGGGGCGGGUUCCCAAUUGAACAUAAUCAUCAUCAUUUAGGCCUUAUUUAUCUGUCUAGAUAAUUUUGUAAUUAGCUUGAUCCAUGUUUGCUCUAAACAGUAUCUCUGAAUUUUGUAAGGAUAAUGAACAUAUGAAUGGCUCUGAAUGUCAAGUUUGUGUUGUCCAUCAAUUUUAGCAGCGGUACAUAAUCUUUUUGCAAUCCCAAUAUCAUCAGCUGCCAUUCGUAUCUUAAGAUCUAUUUUCCUUGCUUUUAAUAUCAAGUUAUGAGUUCCAUUUCCAGAUUGCAACGCCUUUGGGCGUUAAUUGCAGCAACUUUUCUAAUGCAACCACAGACAUACCUAGCUGCAGUUGUUAAUCAAAGAUCUUUUUUACUUGCUUCUCCUAAGCAGUCCUUCUUGCAUUGUCCUAGCUAUCUCUUUUCCAUUUUAAGGGUUAUGAUGGUGAUUGCUGCUUCACUUGCUAGCCACUUUUUUUCCACUGGAUUUUUCUUUUGCUUUUGCUCGGUUUUGGAGAAGCAAAAAGACAACAUCGUUGAGGUGGUUAUCGAUCUGUACUUGUCUGUGGCGAACUCUAGCUGA